RNAcentral lists this ribosomal RNA (374 nucleotides) under uncultured prokaryote. RNAcentral describes it as "bacterial SSU rRNA". It matches the Rfam family "Bacterial small subunit ribosomal RNA", at positions 524 to 896 of the family's 1533-position model. The record is from RNAcentral.
AACGUAGGUGGCGAACGUUAUCCGGAUUCACUGGGCGUAAAGAGUGCGUAGGCGGUUUGUUAAGUCGGAUGUAAAAUCUCCUGGCUCAACUGGGAGGCACCAUCCGAUACUGGCGAGCUGGAGUGCAUCAGAGGAGAGUGGAAUUCCCGGUGUAGUGGUGGAAUGCGUAGAUAUCGGGAGGAACACCAGUGGCGAAAGCGGCUCUCUGGGAUGUUACUGACGCUGUUGCACGAAAGCGUGGGGAGCAAACAGGAUUAGAUACCCUGGUAGUCCACGCUGUAAACUAUGGACACUGGGUACAGGGAGUAUCGACCCUCUCUGUGCCGAAGCUAACGCGUUAAGUGUCCCGUCUGGGGACUACGGCCGCAAGGUUA